CUUCAGUAACGAAUUUUGACUUGAAAGUCAUGAUAUAAGGCAAGUCAAGAAAAUAAAUCCCCACAACAAUAAAUUCAGCUCUAGUGAGAUCAAGAAAUUUCUCCGUGAUCCAAAGUAUUCAACACUAGUCAAACUAUUAGGCUGAAGCAAGAUUUUAUAUCCAUUUCAAAAGAAUAAUUCUAUAACUUAGUGGUUCAAAAAUCCCCGAGUUUAUUAAAAAAUCCACUGUUAAUUCCUGAGCAAUUCCUAAAAAUUAUUUUAUCAGUUUACGAUUUAUUCUAAUUUAACUAAAAAUUCUCGAUAAAUCCUUAGUUCAGAUUCCGAUUUCUACAAUCAUACCUUAACUUCGUAUCAAAUAGCGAAAAACAAAAUGAAGAUACAAGGGAAAACAAACCUGAAUACAAUUGAAGAAUUUGGCGUCCUUAUUUUCUGAUUCCAGGGCAUACAUCGUAGGGUACUGAACAUUAUACCUGUAAUUCAAUUACAAACAUUUUCAAAAACUAUUAAUUAAAAAAAUAAAGCUAAAAAAUGAAAAUGAAACGAGAUUUUAUACUUCUUGCGAGCCUUGCUGACUUGAGAACUCAUCCAAAAGUUGAGAAUCCCAGCGAGGGCGAGAAUCAAGACCACGUAUCCGUACUCUCUGGGCAGCAUUUCGACUCCGGCCAUCGUUGUUUUCUCCGGCGAAUAUUAAGUAGUGAUGUGUUUUUGAAA
This is a long non-coding RNA of Daucus carota subsp. sativus, 711 nucleotides long. RefSeq lists it as uncharacterized. The record is from RefSeq and is a predicted model, not a curated record. NCBI's taxonomy places the organism in Eukaryota, Viridiplantae, Streptophyta, Magnoliopsida, Apiales, Apiaceae. The transcript is spliced from 2 exons.